This is a long non-coding RNA of Sardina pilchardus (European sardine), 274 nucleotides long. RefSeq lists it as uncharacterized. Lineage: Eukaryota; Metazoa; Chordata; Actinopteri; Clupeiformes; Clupeidae. The transcript is spliced from 3 exons. The record is from RefSeq and is a predicted model, not a curated record.
UAGCAAACCACUUGACGACGAAAUGACUCAAGUUCGGCAUCUUCAUUUUGGAUUAUUCCACUGAGAUGGUUAGACGUGAACUUACAUGGCCAGGGGAGCUCACAGUUCUGCUCACCUCUAACAUGAGUCUCUUUGUUUGGAUGAGGAUGUAUGGUGAAAGCCGGUGCUGUGUUCACGUGGGACUGUGGGAUCUGUGGAUUCAUCUGUAGCUCCCUCUCUCUGGUGCUCUGCUGGUUCUGUAUGAAGAAUGACUGAGGAGGAGGACAAGGCUCAG